Molecule: ribosomal RNA, 253 nt
Filed under: uncultured bacterium
Lineage: Bacteria
Description: partial 16S ribosomal RNA
Rfam family: Bacterial small subunit ribosomal RNA
Source: RNAcentral
UACGAAGGGGGCGAGCGUUGUUCGGAAUUACUGGGCGUAAAGCGUACGUAGGCUGCUUUGCAAGUUAGGAGUGAAAUCCCAAGGCUUAACCUUGGAAUUGCUCUUGAGACUGCAAGGCUCGAAUUCGGGAGAGGAUAGCGGAAUAUCCAGUGUAGAGGUGAAAUUCGUAGAUAUUGGAUGGAACACCAGUGGCGAAGGCGGCUAUCUGGCCCGACAUUGACGCUGAGGUACGAAAGCGUGGGGAGCAAACAGG